Non-coding RNA from Oryza nivara, 194 nucleotides. Lineage: Eukaryota; Viridiplantae; Streptophyta; Magnoliopsida; Poales; Poaceae. The record is from Rfam.
AAAAAAACAAACUCUGAGUUUCCGUGUCCAACGUUUGAUCAUCCGUCUUAUUUGAAAAAAUCAAAAAGACAAGUCACAUAUAAAGUAUUAAUCAUGUUUUACCACCUAACAACAAUGAAAAUACUAAUUAUAAAAAAAUUCAUAUAAGACGGAUAAUCAAAUGUUGAAUACGGAAACCCAGGUUUAUCUUUUUU